CUCGUAGGCGGUUCGGUAAGUCGGGUGUGAAAACUCUGGGCUCAACCCAGAGAGGCCACUCGAUACUGCUGUGACUAGAGUGCGGUAGGGGAGCGGGGAAUUCAUGGUGUAGCGGUGAAAUGCGCAGAUAUCAUGAGGAACACCAGUGGCGAAGGCGCCGCUCUGGGCCGUAACUGACGCUGAGGAGCGAAAGCAUGGGUAGCAAACA
This 208-nucleotide ribosomal RNA is filed under the name uncultured bacterium. Its description in RNAcentral is "partial 16S ribosomal RNA". It matches the Rfam family "Bacterial small subunit ribosomal RNA", at positions 568 to 774 of the family's 1533-position model. The record is from RNAcentral.